Small nuclear RNA from Ochotona curzoniae (black-lipped pika), 200 nucleotides. RefSeq annotates it as U2 spliceosomal RNA. Lineage: Eukaryota; Metazoa; Chordata; Mammalia; Lagomorpha; Ochotonidae. The record is from RefSeq and is a predicted model, not a curated record. The transcript has a single exon.
AUCGCUUCUCGGCCUUUUGGCUAAGAUCAAGUGUAGUAUCUGUUCUUAUCAGUUUAAACAUACCAGAGGAUGGUGUUAACAGCACUUCCCCAGAAAGCCUAUGGUCUAACCCAAAGGUUAGUUCACAUCCCACAACUCUCUGAUAUUAUCAAAAGAUGGUUGUUGACUGUACAAGUAGCUCUACACAGUAAUCACUUCCU